GGGCAGCAUGGGGUGUAGCAAUACACUCUGAUGGCGACCGGCAAACGGGUGCGGAACACGUACGCAACUUACCCAUAACUGAUGAAUAGCCCUCCGAAAGGAGGAUUAAUACAUCGUAACAUUGUGAAGUGGCAUCACUUUAUAAUUAUAGCUCCGGCGGUUAUGGAUGGGCGUGCGGCUGAUUAGGUAGUUGGUUGAGGUAACGGCUCACCAAGCCUUCGAUCAGUAACUGGUGUGAGAGCACGACCAGUCACACGGGCACUGAGACACGGGCCCGACUCCUACGGGAGGCAGCAGUAAGGAAUAUUGGUCAAUGGACGCAAGUCUGAACCAGCCAUGCCGCGUGAAGGAUGAAGGUCCUCUGGAUUGUAAACUUCUUUUACAGGGGAAGAAACCCGGGAAUUCUUUUCCGGUUGACGGUACCCUGGGAAUAAGCACCGGCUAACUCCGUGCCAGCAGCCGCGGUAAUACGGAGGGUGCAAGCGUUAUCCGGAUUCACUGGGUUUAAAGGGUGCGUAGGAGGGUAGGUAAGUCAGUGGUGAAAUCUCCGGGCUCAACUCGGAAACUGCCGUUGAUACUAUCUAUCUUGAAUACCGUGGAGGUGAGCGGAAUAUGUCAUGUAGCGGUGAAAUGCUUAGAUAUGACAUAGAACACCAAUUGCGAAGGCAGCUCACUACACGAAUAUUGACUCUGAGGCACGAAAGCGUGGGGAUCAAACAGGAUUAGAUACCCUGGUAGUCCACGCCCUAAACUAUGGAUACUCGACAUACGCGAUACACUGUGUGUGUCUGAGCGAAAGCAUUAAGUAUCCCACCUGGGAAGUACGACCGC
RNAcentral lists this ribosomal RNA (831 nucleotides) under Flavisolibacter sp. Its description in RNAcentral is "bacterial SSU rRNA". It matches the Rfam family "Bacterial small subunit ribosomal RNA", at positions 67 to 889 of the family's 1533-position model. Lineage: Bacteria; Pseudomonadati; Bacteroidota; Chitinophagia; Chitinophagales; Chitinophagaceae. The record is from RNAcentral.